AUUGUAGGCUGCAACUCGCCUACAUGAAGUCGGAAUUGCUAGUAAUCGCGGAUCAGCAUGCCGCGGUGAAUACGUUCCCGGGCCUUGUACACACCGCCCGUCACACCAUGGGAGUCGGUAACACCCGAAGCCUGUAGUCUAACCGCAAGGGGGGACGCAGUCGAAGGUGGGGAUUGAUGACUGGGGUGAAGUCGUAACAAGGUAAC
Molecule: ribosomal RNA, 206 nt
Filed under: uncultured bacterium
Lineage: Bacteria
Description: partial 16S ribosomal RNA
Rfam family: Bacterial small subunit ribosomal RNA
Source: RNAcentral